Molecule: non-coding RNA, 30 nt
Filed under: Mus musculus (house mouse)
Lineage: Eukaryota; Metazoa; Chordata; Mammalia; Rodentia; Muridae
Source: RNAcentral
UAUUGAUGUUCCUUCUAUUGAGCUGUAAAC